Molecule: small nucleolar RNA, 207 nt
Rfam family: Small nucleolar RNA snR31
Source: Rfam
AAUGCCACAACUGCGUGGGGUUCACCAAGUGGACUGCAACAUUCCUAUUGUGCUGAUCCGCUGUGUGGCGCUACAUGCGAUUACCCCACGCCAGAGUAAGAGUUUAACUCAAAGGAAGAUGUAUCUCCAGCUAUUGAAUUGGCAUGACGUCUUUUUACGUCGGCCGCAUUAAAGGUGAUAUAGUUGGUCAUGGAUCUUACUACAUAC